RNAcentral lists this ribosomal RNA (468 nucleotides) under uncultured bacterium. RNAcentral describes it as "partial 16S ribosomal RNA". It matches the Rfam family "Bacterial small subunit ribosomal RNA", at positions 28 to 507 of the family's 1533-position model. The record is from RNAcentral.
GACGAACGCUGGCGGCGUGCUUAACACAUGCAAGUCGAACGGAAAGGCCCUGCUUUUGUGGGGUGCUCGAGUGGCGAACGGGUGAGUAACACGUGAGUAACCUGCCCUUGACUUUGGGAUAACUUCAGGAAACUGGGGCUAAUACCGGAUAGGAGCUCCUGCUGCAUGGUGGGGGUUGGAAAGUUUCGGCGGUUGGGGAUGGACUCGCGGCUUAUCAGCUUGUUGGUGGGGUAGUGGCUUACCAAGGCUUUGACGGGUAGCCGGCCUGAGAGGGUGACCGGCCACAUUGGGACUGAGAUACGGCCCAGACUCCUACGGGAGGCAGCAGUGGGGAAUAUUGUACAAUGGGCGGAAGCCUGAUGCAGCAACGCUGCGUGCGGGAUGACGGCCUUCGGGUUGUAAACCGCUUUCGCCUGUGACGAAGCGUGAGUGACGGUAAUGGGUAAAGAAGCACCGGCUAACUACGUG